GAAAUGCGAUAAGUAAUGUGAAUUGCAGAAUUCAGUGAAUCAUCGAAUCUUUGAACGCACAUUGCGCCCCCUGGCAUUCCGGGGGGCAUGCCCGUUCGAGCGUCAUUAAAUCCAAUCAAGCCUGGCUUGGUAUUGGGCGGCGGGACUCUCCCGCGCCUCAAUUUCACCGGCUGGCCGUCGCCCGUCUUAGCGUUGUGACACACUUCUCGCUAGCGAUGGGAGCGGACCACGCCGUUAGAACCCAUGAAUUUCAAUCGAAAUUCGAUUAGGUUGACCUCGGAUCGGGUAGGAAUACCCGCUGAACUUAA
Molecule: unclassified non-coding RNA, 308 nt
Filed under: uncultured Capnodiales
Lineage: Eukaryota; Fungi; Ascomycota; Dothideomycetes; Capnodiales
Description: sequence contains ITS1
Rfam family: 5.8S ribosomal RNA (bases 1-105)
Source: RNAcentral